Electrophorus electricus (electric eel) is the source of this 1311-nucleotide non-coding RNA. NCBI's taxonomy places the organism in Eukaryota, Metazoa, Chordata, Actinopteri, Gymnotiformes, Gymnotidae. The record is from RefSeq and is a predicted model, not a curated record.
UGGCCAGCUGAGGCAUCAGUGCUACGCUCCAGCACUGACAUACACACUCGCCACUCUCUCUCUCUGUCCCUCUCCAGGACUGCGCUCUGGAUAUCAAGGUGAAAGACUUGUUUGGCCUGUAACUCCAGCUGGCAGGGUUGAUGCAGCCUGUUUUGGUAUUUGGUGUAUUUAUUUCCCCUUUCUUUCGUCUCUGAAUCAGCCUGGGAGAGCACGCAUAGAAUGUGGCUGGCUUGGGCUGACAGGUCAUUUAGUAAACAGGUUGAGGAAGGUUUGACAGAUGAUAUGGAUAAAUAAUUCAUACGAAUUGUCAAGCGUCUCUGACUGCAUGGCCACGGACAGCCAGAAGCCAGGGCAGAUUAAGCUGUGCUCCUAAACAGUUCGUAUCAGUACAUUUCCAGAAACUGGAUUGCGAUUCCCACUUCCAUCACAACCUUCACCAAGAACCAGAAACUCAGAAAAACCCACACAGCCGGUGUAGAAAAAGAAGCAGUUUAUUUUCUGCAAAACACUACUGACAUCAGAACACUCACCUGGAGAGAGACACGCACACUCGCCCACCCACCCACACAUCCACACAUCUUACACUUUACACAUACUGUAAACGCAGCCAUUGACGAUAAUAUUCACAAUAAUACAGCUACUCUUUUUUUUACAUUGUACAAGCCACCCACUGCCUAAGAAAUGACUAUUUUUAUUUAAUUUUCCCUUCUAAUGUCGUGAGAUUCAUGUCCCUGUAUGAGAAGUGAGCAUACCCGAUAAAUUCCAAAUAUCCACAAGAAUGGACAGUAAAAGAGGUCCAAGACCCAAUAUGGUCGCCAGGACAUCCAAUAAACAAGGCGUUAUAAACAUGUCAACAAGGGAGGAGUGGAGUCAUGAUAAAUAAUGAGACAAAAGUUUUUUAAAGGAAGAGAUAAUCGCAGUAUUUCGUUUUUCUUCUAAAAGAUAUUUCAGAAGCUGCAUUUUACAGUCCAGCUUGGGCCAGAUCAGUCAAAGACACAAGUGACACCACCUCCCUGAUGCUGUGGGAGGGGUGCAUGAUCAAAACAGAUUUCUUUUUCACCUUUUGUGUAAGAAAUGGUAGAAAUCUCAGGCCACAUAGUAGUAAUCUGGGUAAUUUUUGGGGGGUUUUUAAAGUCACCUUCCAUGUCAAAAUUAAGUCAAAUAAUAUUUAGAACCCACAUCAAUCAACCCCACAUCAACCCCAUUUUAUUUUCAAAAAAUACAUUCUUGUUUUUAAAAUGAAAAAAUUAAUUCCACAUGAAUUUCUCAAAAGGAAUCUCAUCUAUAAAUAAGACAUAUGUGUAAAAAAAA